UGAGAGUUUGAUCCUGGCUCAGAGCGAACGCUGGCGGCAGGCCUAACACAUGCAAGUCGAGCGCCGUAGCAAUACGGAGCGGCAGACGGGAGAGUAACACGUGGGAACGUACCCUUUGGUUCGGAACAACCCAGGGAAACUUGGGCUAAUACCGGAUAAGCCCUCACGGGGAAAGAUUCAUCGCCGAAGGAUCGGCCCGCGUCUGAUUAGCUGGUUGGUGGGGUAAUGGCCCACCAA
Molecule: ribosomal RNA, 237 nt
Filed under: unidentified proteobacterium
Lineage: Bacteria; Pseudomonadati; Pseudomonadota
Description: 16S rRNA
Rfam family: Bacterial small subunit ribosomal RNA
Source: RNAcentral